UGCAGCCGCGCGGUCAGCAAUGGCAGCGGCGGACGGGUGCGUAACGCGUAGGAACGUGUCCUGAGGUGGGGGACAACCCUGGGAAACUGGGGCUAAUACCGCAUAUGGGCUGAGGCCCAAAGCCGAAAGGCGCCUUAGGAGCGGCCUGCGUCCGAUUAGCUAGUUGGUGGGGUAAAGGCCUACCAAGGCUCCGAUCGGUAGCUGGUCUGAGAGGACGAUCAGCCACACUGGGACUGAGACACGGCCCAGACUCCUACGGGAGGCAGCAGUGGGGAAUAUUGGACAAUGGGCGCAAGCCUGAUCCAGCAAUGCCGCGUGGGUGAAGAAGGUCUUCGGAUCGUAAAGCCCUUUCGACAGGGACGAUGAUGACGGUACCUGUAGAAGAAGCCCCGGCUAACUUCGUGCCAGCAGCCGCGGUAAUACGAAGGGGGCUAGCGUUGCUCGGAAUUACUGGGCGUAAAGGGCGCGUAGGCGGCUUAUUCAGUCAGGCGUGAAAUUCCUGGGCUUAACCUGGGGUCUGCGUUUGAGACGGCUAGGCUA
RNAcentral lists this ribosomal RNA (540 nucleotides) under uncultured Pseudomonadota bacterium. Its description in RNAcentral is "bacterial SSU rRNA". It matches the Rfam family "Bacterial small subunit ribosomal RNA", at positions 56 to 643 of the family's 1533-position model. The record is from RNAcentral. Lineage: Bacteria; Pseudomonadati; Pseudomonadota.